GUCUGCGGCCAUACCACCCUGAACACGCCCGAUCUCGUCUGAUCUCGGAAGCUAAACAGGGUCGGGUGUGGUUAGUACUUGGGUAGGAGAAAACAUGAUGCAAAUG
Molecule: ribosomal RNA, 106 nt
Organism: Ochotona princeps (American pika)
Lineage: Eukaryota; Metazoa; Chordata; Mammalia; Lagomorpha; Ochotonidae
Source: Ensembl